CACUGACGCUCAUGGACGAAAGCCAGGGGAGCGAAAGGGAUUAGAUACCCCUGUAGUCCUGGCCGUAAACGAUGAACACUAGGUGUCGGGGGAAUCGACCCCCUCGGUGUCGUAGCCAACGCGUUAAGUGUUCCGCCUGGGGAGUACGCACGCAAGUGUGAAACUCAAAGGAAUUGACGGGGGCCCGCACAAGCGGUGGAGUAUGUGGUUUAAUUCGAUGCAACGCGAAGAACCUUACCAGGGUUUGACAUCCUGCGAACCUCUUGGAAACAGGAGGGUGCCUUCGGGAACGCAGUGACAGGUGGUGCAUGGCUGUCGUCAGCUCGUGUCGUGAGAUGUUGGGUUAAGUCCCGCAACGAGCGCAACCCACGUCUUUAGUUGCCAGCAUUUAGUUGGGCACUCUAGAGAGACCGCCGGUGAUAAACCGGAGGAAGGUGUGGAUGACGUCAAGUCAUCAUGCCCCUUACAUCCUGGGCUACACACGUACUACAAUGCUACGGACAGAGGGCAGCAAGUUCGCGAGGACAAGCAAAUCCCAUAAACCGUGGCUCAGUUCAGAUCGUAGGCUGCAACUCGCCUACGUGAAGGAGGAAUCGCUAGUAAUCGCAGGUCAGCAUACUGCGGUGAAUACGUUCCCGGGCCUUGUACACACCGCCCGUCACACCAUGGAAGUUGGCCACGCCCGAAGCCGUUACUCCAACCCUCGGGAGGAGGACGUCGAAGGUGGGGCUGAUGACUGGGGUGAAGUCGUAACAAGGG
Molecule: ribosomal RNA, 759 nt
Filed under: uncultured bacterium
Lineage: Bacteria
Description: bacterial SSU rRNA
Rfam family: Bacterial small subunit ribosomal RNA
Source: RNAcentral